This 1515-nucleotide ribosomal RNA is filed under the name Tissierella sp. feline oral taxon 025. RNAcentral describes it as "bacterial SSU rRNA". It matches the Rfam family "Bacterial small subunit ribosomal RNA". Lineage: Bacteria; Bacillati; Bacillota; Tissierellia; Tissierellales; Tissierellaceae. The record is from RNAcentral.
GAGUUUGAUCCUGGCUCAGGACAAACGCUGGCGGCGUGCUUAACACAUGCAAGUCGAACGAUGAAACGGAACGGAAGUUUUCGGACGGAAGUUCUGUGGAUUAGUGGCGGACGGGUGAGUAAUGCAUGAAGAACCUGCCUUUCACAUAGGAAUAGCCUCGGGAAACCGGGAUUAAUACCAAAUGACACUCCGAGAUCGCAUGUUUUUGGGGUUAAAGAUUUUAUCGGUGAAAGAUGGCUUCAUGUCCCAUUAGCUGGUUGGUGAGGUAACGGCUCACCAAGGCGACGAUGGGUAGCCGACCUGAGAGGGUGAACGGCCACAUUGGAACAGAGACACGGUCCAAACUCCUACGGGAGGCAGCAGUGGGGAAUAUUGCACAAUGGAGGAAACUCUGAUGCAGCGACGCCGCGUGAGCGAUGAAGGUCUUCGGAUCGUAAAGCUCUGUCCUAAGGGACGAUAAUGACGGUACCUUAGGUGGAAGCUCCGGCUAACUACGUGCCAGCAGCCGCGGUAAUACGUAGGGAGCAAGCGUUGUCCGGAUUUAUUGGGCGUAAAGGGUGCGUAGGCGGCCUGAUAAGUCAGAUGUGAAAGGCGGAGGCUCAACCUCCGUUAGCAUCUGAAACUGUCAGGCUUGAGUGAAGGAGAGGAAAGUGGAAUUCCUAGUGUAGCGGUGAAAUGCGUAGAUAUUAGGAGGAAUACCGGUGGCGAAGGCGACUUUCUGGGCUUAUACUGACGCUGAGGCACGAAAGUGUGGGGAGCGAACAGGAUUAGAUACCCUGGUAGUCCACACCGUAAACGAUGAGUGCUAGGUGUCGGGGGUCAAACCUCGGUGCCGCAGCUAACGCAUUAAGCACUCCGCCUGGGGAGUACGUACGCAAGUAUGAAACUCAAAGGAAUUGACGGGGACCCGCACAAGCAGCGGAGCAUGUGGUUUAAUUCGAAGCAACGCGAAGAACCUUACCAGGGCUUGACAUACCGGUGAUCGUCUUAGAGAUAGGAUUUUCCUUCGGGACACCGGAUACAGGUGGUGCAUGGUUGUCGUCAGCUCGUGUCGUGAGAUGUUGGGUUAAGUCCCGCAACGAGCGCAACCCUUGCCGAAAGUUGCUAACAUUCAGUUGAGUACUCUAGAGGGACUGCCGAUGAUAAAUCGGAGGAAGGUGGGGAUGACGUCAAAUCAUCAUGCCCUUUAUGUCCUGGGCUACACACGUGCUACAAUGGUCGGUACAAAGAGCUGCAAGCAGGUGACUGCAAGCGAAUCUCGUAAAGCCGAUCCCAGUUCGGAUUGUAGGCUGCAACUCGCCUACAUGAAGUUGGAGUUGCUAGUAAUCGCAAAUCAGAAUGUUGCGGUGAAUGCGUUCCCGGGUCUUGUACACACCGCCCGUCACACCAUGGGAGCUUGAAAUACCCGAAGCCUGUGAGCUAACGCAAGAGGCAGCAGUCGAAGGUAGGGCAAGUGACUGGGGUGAAGUCGUAACAAGGUAGCCGUAUCGGAAGGUGCGGCUGGAUCACCUCCUU